AGUGAUCCAAGUCCCUGUUGGAGUCAGUCAGAGCAUUUCCAUAGAGAGCCACUUUGCAUCAGCAGCACCAUGCUCCAGUGCUCUGGGAGAGUUUAUAGUCCUGAGAGUUGAAGACUGGAUGACUGACAGCUGUCCUUCAUGACAACAGAAGACACAGAAAUCCUCCUCAUCAGAAACAUGACUUUGGUCUCCGUCCUCAUCUGGACUCUCCUCUGCUGCUGCUUCACAGAGUCCAGAGGACAGGUCACAGUGACUCAGUCUGGAGCAGUGAGCUCUGCUCUGGGAGCCUCCGUCACCAUCAGCUGUAGGACCAGUCGUGCUGUAUAUUAUGAUGGUUCUGACCACAUAUUAGCCUGGUAUCAGCAGAAAGAAGGAGAAACUCCUAAACUACUGAUUUACUGGGCAAAUCGUAGAGCAUCAGGGAUUCCAGGUCGUUUUACAGGCAGUGGAUCAUACAGUGACUUCACUCUGACCAUCAGUGGAGUCCAGGCUGAAGAUGCAGCAGUUUACUACUGUCAGAGUUAUCAUGAAAUCAACAGUCAGCGUGUGUUCACACAGUGAAAAAGCGUCAUACA
Molecule: non-coding RNA, 575 nt
Organism: Seriola dumerili (greater amberjack)
Lineage: Eukaryota; Metazoa; Chordata; Actinopteri; Carangiformes; Carangidae
Source: the annotation of a RefSeq genome assembly